AACGGACGAAAACACGCCGAGCUCGCUACAGACGUUUGCAGAAACCGAAAAGGACACAAGGCACAGCACAAGGCAGAACAAUAGUUCCCGGCUCUGUUAGAAUUUCUUCACUUGCACGAGGCAGCGGCCCACAGCAAUCUCACAGCAAUAAGAUGUCAAGACAGUUCAUCGAGACAUACAUGGACGAGUUCGACGAUUACAACAUUCAGCAGGAUAAAUUCAUUCAUUCCAGCCACAGCGGCAAAGGAAGGACGAAGAGAGAGGCUAGCCAGCACACAAACCAUCACGACCCCAACGGUCACGUUCGUAAGACUGUACAAAAACUCAUGAACAAUCACCACAAUAAUGUGAAAAGACAGAAUUCCAGCGAGUGUCGAUCAUGACGCAUAGGGGAUGUUUAUGGCAGGAAAUAGGGACCAAACCAUGCUGCUGGCAAAGCUGAGGUGAAAGCUCACUUGUGUGCAUUCAACCAAAUCCAUGACCCGGCUACUUAAAUGAAAACGGACUCGCGAGCCUGAACUUUGGACGUUGACUUCUGGACAUUUUACUGUAGUAAGGGGAGGACUUGUUUCGGACAGCCCUCACCUGAAGAGUUAGUCAACAAAAUGGCAAAAAAGUGCAAACCAUUGACAUUUAUACUCUUACAUUAGUAUAUCAACCAGAUGUUUUAUAAUUGCGAUAUAUGAUCGUGAUGGAGUACGUUUGUGCAUUUGUGUAUUUAUACAAUGGUAUGCAAACCAAACAUAGAUACGUUAUAUAAAUAAACAUUAAGACACGUGUGUUGUUUUAAAAAAAGAACAAACAUUUGACUUAUUGUGUAACUAUGAA
This is a long non-coding RNA of Liolophura sinensis, 828 nucleotides long. RefSeq lists it as uncharacterized. Lineage: Eukaryota; Metazoa; Mollusca; Polyplacophora; Chitonida; Chitonidae. The record is from RefSeq and is a predicted model, not a curated record. The transcript is spliced from 2 exons.